RNAcentral lists this long non-coding RNA (3737 nucleotides) under Erythranthe guttata (spotted monkey flower). RNAcentral describes it as "long non-coding RNA (EGUT_LNC000090)". The record is from RNAcentral. Lineage: Eukaryota; Viridiplantae; Streptophyta; Magnoliopsida; Lamiales; Phrymaceae.
CACCGAGUUGGCAAACGAGUUCGCCGUCAUGGACCGGUGGUUCGCGUCGGUUCCCGCUUCGACUCAGCCGAACCGGUUCUACGUUCACUCCGCCACCUCGCACGGCGCCUCCAGCAACGUGAGGAAAGACCUGAUCAACGGGUUCCCACAGAAGACGAUCUUCGACUCAAUUGACGAAAACGACCUCAGUUUCGGGAUAUAUUACCAGAAUAUCCCCGCCACUCUGUUCUUCAAGAGCCUCAGGAAGCUGAAGCACAUCAUCAAGUUCCACGACUACGCGCUGAAGUUCAAACUCCACGCGAAAACGGGGAAGCUGCCGAACUAUGUCGUGAUCGAGCAGAGGUACUUCGACGUGGAGGUGUGCCCGGCGAACGACGAUCAUCCCUCGCACGACGUGGCGCACGGGCAGAAGUUUGUGAAGGAGGUUUACGAGACGCUUAGGGCGAGCCCGCAAUGGGAAGAGAUGGCUCUUUUGAUUACUUAUGACGAACACGGUGGAUUUUACGAUCACGUCCCUACACCUGUUUCCGGUGUGCCGAAUCCGGAUGGGAUAAUCGGGCCUGACCCGUUUAUUUCAAGCACGUCGGCUUGGUGUUCGGUCNNNNNNNNNNNNNNNNNNNNNNNNNNNNNNNNNNNNNNNNNNNNNNNNNNNNNNNNNNNNNNNNNNNNNNNNNNNNNNNNNNNNNNNNNNNNNNNNNNNNAGCACAUAGCUACAACUUUUUCGAUAGCAAUGAUACGUGUCUUAGUAGUUGCCAUGACCUAUAGAUCCUCGUAAAUCUCCAAUUGAUAUUAGCAUCAUCGUCAUACACAUGAGCAUUUAUAUGAUUCCAAAAAUUAUACUCCCUCUGUUCCACAAUAACUGUUUAAAAUAUUUUUGUUCCAUAUUAUUUGUCACUUUAGAUUUCCAAUACCUCAUUAAAUGCAUUUUUCCUGUUUUAAUCUUAUUAAUUCAACUAUAAAUAUUAACUCUCUCUUAUCACAUUAUUAAAUACUCAAGGUUAUUUUAGUCUUUCUAAUAUAUUUUACCUAAAAUCAAGACACAUUUAUUGAGCUUCUUAAUCCUUGUGCAAAACAAAAAACGACACAUAAUAGGGAACAGAGGGAGUAACUCAUUUUCUAGCAUAUAACUUUCUCAAAUAAGAUCUACGAGAUGUUCCCUGUAACCAUUGACAGUUCCAGGCGAGACAAUUCAUGGCGAUUGGUUAGGCUACACCACAGCCACCACCAUUGGAGUAUUUGCGACAUAAAAAUAAAAACUAUGAUCUAAUAAGCCAUUAUCAGUAAUAAAUAUAGAGAAACACCUUCAUCAAGAGAGAAGAGAAGCCUCUCAUAAAGAGAGAAAAAAAAACACCUCUAAUUUGUUAAAAUUUAAAGAUGUUUCUUUUUUUUUUUUGAAUUUUUUACCAAACAAGUUAUUAAAUAAUUUAUAAGAUGUUUUGAAGAGCUUAUAAGUAUAGCUACACACCCUCUUACUAUUGUUAAAAAAAUCGGGAUACACCUUCCGUUUAACUAGCACCUCGUUAGAUCCGACUAAUUAAACUAUAAUAAAUAAUUCGUUUGUAAUUUGAUUUAAUUUGAUUUGUUGAAUUUGAUAAUGAUUUUAUUUUAUUUUUAGAUUUAUGAUAUAAAAAGAAAACACGUUAGUGUAUCAAUAUCCAUUGGUGUCUUAAACGUAGAGACCCACCAUAUUUAUACAUGUUGGACUUGAUAAUAAAUUGGUCAAAUAAGUUAGGCAAAGGCAUUAAAGGAAUAUUCUAAACAAAUAAGUGAUCAACGUUUUGCCACUAACACUCUUGAAUUGUGUGGCAUUUAAGCCCUUCCUCUUUUUUUCCCACUGGUUUCUCCAUUCAACUUAAUAAAUAACCUAGUUGCUCUGUUCAACUUAAUAAAUAAAUAAAGGAUUUUUUGUUUGAUACGAGAAAAAGACUCCAUUUGUUGUAUUUGAAGACUCUAACUAAAGUAAUCGGACUAUAUAUUUAUUAUAGAUUAAUCAAAAAAAAAAAAAAACAUUUAUUUUAUUUAUUAUUUUUCAUGGUUGAAAUAUUUAUUUUGGUUGUUUUUAAUAUUUAUUUGUGUUAUAAAAAAAUAGAAAAUAAAAUAUUUUAAUAUUUAUUAGAAUUUAAAAUAAUAUGCAGAUAAAAAAAUAAUUGUGGAAAAUAUCAUACAUAAACAUUAAGCUAUAAUCAAUACUAUAGUAUUACAAAUUCACAAGUCAAUAUAUAAAAUAAUUUUAUAGCUCUCUACUCUAUUGGAUAUGCUCUUGCAAAGUUUAUUCACAUUAAAAACUUGGUUAAAUUACAACCAACCCCUGGGGUAUGGUCAAAUUAUGAAAAAAUCCCUCAUGUUUGGAUAAUUACAACUACCUCUCAACUAUAAAUCUUCUUACAUGUCCACCUUUAUGGUUUUAAAAUCAACAUAAUCUUCUAGAUUAUAUGGAAUAUUCUCUAAUUUGUACUCGUUUUGCCCAAAAAUGUAGUUUCUGAUGCACCACAAUCUGAUAUAUAAAAACAAAAACCACAUCUUAUGAUCAUCUUGUUUCAAACUGUGGAGCUCUUAUGAAAUAAAACAGGUACAUAAUUGAGAAUAUUCCAUAAAAUCUAAAAAAUUCAACACAAACAUGAGGGGUUUUUCGUAAUUUGACCAUAUAGGGGUGGUUGUAAUUUACCUUAAAAACUUCAAAUAUUAUAAAUAAUAGUGGAGUCAAAUUGAAUAAAUUUCAAAAUAAAGCCUCCGUGCAAAAUAUAAUAAUAAAUAUAAAUAUAGGAGAUAGUGAUAUUUAGAAGAAUAAAAAGCAAACCCAAACUUGAAAGCAACCACCAAACCAAACAGAUGAUUUGUCAGUCAAAACAAAGUUAAUAUCACUGAUAUAUGAUGAAACUCAAAAAACUCGAGUAGUAUAAUUCUUCAGUAUAUACCUUCAAUUGUAAUCUUCUCUCUCUCUCUUCUUUCUCUCUCUAAUUCCGCCGCCGCCGCCGACGGAAAAAAUGGGUUUAAUCCGGCGGAGCCGUUUGGUUUUCGCCGUCUUCGCCUAUCUUCUAGUUUCCUCCGCCGUCUCUCACUCGUUCCCCUUCCCUAAAAAGGAAAAGCACAAAAUCGAAGGCCCAAUCAAAACCCUAGUAGUUCUCGUUAUGGAGAAUCGCUCCUUCGAUCACAUCCUAGGCUGGAUGAAGCGCACCCGACCCGACAUCGACGGCCUCACCGGAUCCGAAUUCAACCGGGUCAACGCGUCCGACCCGAAUUCCCGACCCGUUUAUGUCUCCGACGAGGCUUUCUUCAUCGAUUCCGACCCGGGCCACUCCAUCCAAGCCAUAAGGGAGCAGAUAUUCGGCGGCGCCGACACCUCCGCAAACCCUGCCCCGAUGAACGGGUUCGUGCAGCAGGCCGAGAGCAUGGAGGCCGACGGAAUGUCGAAAACCGUCAUGAGCGGGUUCAAACCGGAGUUGGUGCCGGUUUACACCGAGUUGGCAAACGAGUUCGCCGUUAUGGACCGGUGGUUCGCGUCGGUUCCCGCUUCGACUCAGCCGAACCGGUUCUACGUUCACUCCGCCACCUCGCACGGCGCCUCCAGCAACGUGAGGAAAGACCUGAUCAACGGGUUCCCACAGAAGACGAUUUUCGACUCAAUUGACGAAAAUGACCUCAGUUUCGGGAUAUAUUACCAGAAUAUCCCCGCCACUCUGUUCUUCAAGAGCCUUAGGAAGCUCAAGCACAUCAUCAAAUUCCACGACUACGCGCUG